This 213-nucleotide ribosomal RNA is filed under the name Clostridioides difficile. RNAcentral describes it as "partial 23S ribosomal RNA". It matches the Rfam family "Bacterial large subunit ribosomal RNA", at positions 490 to 704 of the family's 2925-position model. Lineage: Bacteria; Bacillati; Bacillota; Clostridia; Peptostreptococcales; Peptostreptococcaceae. The record is from RNAcentral.
GCGUAUAGUACCGUGAGGGAAAGGUGAAAAGAACCCCGGGAGGGGAGUGAAAUAGAACCUGAAACCCUGCACUUACAAGCUGUGGAAGCACAUUUCUUGUGUGACCACGUACUUUUUGUAGAACGGGCCAACGAGUUACGUUAAGUAGCAAGGUUAAGCACUUAAGGUGCGGAGCCGUAGCGAAAGCGAGUUUUAACUGAGCGUUCAGUUACU